This is a non-coding RNA of Pelobates cultripes (western spadefoot toad), 227 nucleotides long. The record is from the annotation of a GenBank genome assembly. Lineage: Eukaryota; Metazoa; Chordata; Amphibia; Anura; Pelobatidae.
GUUUUGCGUGCUGGCCAGUGUAUUGGGCGAGAAAUCACCUGGUUUAUGCUCCUCCCUGUUCUGCUACUUGGACGGAAUUUGGGAAGCGUACCGCACCUAUGGCGGAUUGGUAUGGUGGCGUUAUGAUGAGCAGUUUCAGCAGCAGCUUGCAGCCAACCCGAGUAUGAGGUGGGACUAAAUGGACCUACCUCUCUGGAUGAAACUAAUGAUGGCGCAGAAAGCCCAGC